This 162-nucleotide unclassified non-coding RNA is filed under the name uncultured fungus. RNAcentral describes it as "sequence contains ITS1". The record is from RNAcentral. Lineage: Eukaryota; Fungi.
UUAACUAUUUAUAUAGUACUCAGACGACAUAUAAUACAGAGUUUGGGGUCCUUUGCCGGGCGAACCCGGCAAAGCAACAAAGGUACAAUAACACAGGGUGGAGAUCUACCCGUAAGGGCAAGAUACUCUGUAAUGAUCCUUCCGCAGGUUCACCUACGGAAA